RNAcentral lists this ribosomal RNA (253 nucleotides) under uncultured bacterium. RNAcentral's name for it is "partial 16S ribosomal RNA". It matches the Rfam family "Bacterial small subunit ribosomal RNA", at positions 524 to 776 of the family's 1533-position model. The record is from RNAcentral.
UACAGAGGGUGCAAGCGUUAAUCGGAAUUACUGGGCGUAAAGCGUGCGUAGGCGGCUAUCUAAGUCGGGUGUGAAAGCCCCGGGCUCAACCUGGGAAUUGCAUUCGAGACUGAAUAGCUAGGGUACGGUAGAGGGAAGUGGAAUUUCCGGUGUAGCGGUGAAAUGCGUAGAUAUCGGAAGGAACAUCAGUGGCGAAAGCGACUUCCUGGACCAGUACUGACGUUCAGGCACGAAAGCGUGGGGAGCAAACAGG